CGUGGGCAACCUGCCCCAGACUUCGGGAUAACUCUUCGAAAGAGGCGCUAAUACCGGAUAUGAACUCUGCAGGCAUCUGCGGAGUUGGAAAGUUUUUCGGUCUGGGAUGGGCCCGCGGCCUAUCAGCUAGUUGGUGAGGUAGUGGCUCACCAAGGCGACGACGGGUAGCCGGCCUGAGAGGGCGACCGGCCACACUGGGACUGAGACACGGCCCAGACUCCUACGGGAGGCAGCAGUGGGGAAUAUUGCGCAAUGGGCGAAAGCCUGACGCAGCAACGCCGCGUGCGGGAUGCAGGCCUUCGGGUUGUAAACCGCUUUCAGCAGGGAAGAAGCGAAAGUGACGGUACCUGCAGAAGAAGCACCGGCUAACUACGUGCCAGCAGCCGCGGUAAUACGUAGGGUGCAAGCGUUGUCCGGAUUUAUUGGGCGUAAAGAGCUCGUAGGCGGCUAGUCGCGUCGGAUGUGAAAACCCAGUGCUUAACACUGGGCCUGCAUUCGAUACGGGCUGACUAGAGUGUUGUAGGGGAGACUG
RNAcentral lists this ribosomal RNA (532 nucleotides) under uncultured Actinomycetes bacterium. RNAcentral's name for it is "bacterial SSU rRNA". It matches the Rfam family "Bacterial small subunit ribosomal RNA", at positions 116 to 663 of the family's 1533-position model. The record is from RNAcentral. Lineage: Bacteria; Bacillati; Actinomycetota; Actinomycetes.